RNAcentral lists this long non-coding RNA (4387 nucleotides) under Homo sapiens (human). RNAcentral describes it as "non-protein coding LINC02577:17". The record is from RNAcentral. Lineage: Eukaryota; Metazoa; Chordata; Mammalia; Primates; Hominidae.
AGUGUAUAAUGAGCAGUGAGACGACUGGAGGUCACUUUCAUCGCCAUCUUGGUUUUGGUGGGUUUUGGACAGCUUCUUUACGCAUGCUGUUUUAUCAGCAAGGUCUUUGUGACCUGUAUCUUGUGCCGACCUCCUAUCUCAUCCUGUGACUAGGAAUGCCUUAACCUCCUGGAAUGCAGCUCAAUCACAGUCUGGAAGUCUGCUCACAGUCUCAAGGUUGGCAUAUCCCCUAGAGCCCCCAGACUCCUCAUCCCAUGGAGACCAACAUGGCCAGGGGAGGGCCAGAGCAGGGCCUUCUAAAUCACAGACCCCAGGGCAGGAGCCCCUCCGGUCUGGAUCUAAGGAUGGUAUUUUCAACAAUUCCUAAAUUUUUAUCCUAGGCUCUCCAAAUGGGAGUCUAAAGGUCUCAAAACAUGGUCCAGAAGAAGUAUGCAAAAAUGUAAAUUCCUAGGCCCCAACCCAGACCUAUGAAUCAGAUGAUCUGUAUGGGGGUUCAAGGAAUCUAUAUUAUUAAACAAUCUUCCUAAAUGACUUGUAUUCAUACUAAAGCUUGAGAAUUGCUAUCAAACAGCUAGAAGUUGGAGUGAAGGGUCCUGCCUUUCCCAUGAAAUUCAUCAACUCUAUGCCCUCAAAAGCUGGGCUCUUGGAUGAGCUGCUCUCCAUUCUAGAGACAUUACCAGCUAGGUAGCCUGCUGGUCCUCAGGAAGUUAAGCCCAGACUCUUCAGCACAGAAUCAGAUAAACACUGAUUACAUUGUACUCUACAGUUCUGAGAACACCAUUACUUAAUUCCCGGCAAGUUGCAAUGUAAUUGAGUAGGUUGUAGUUUUUUGGGUUUGGGGUUUUUUUGUUUUUUAAAUAUAUCAGGCGUAGUUAGCCAGCUUCCUAGAAACACCAUGAUCUCUUGGUGAAAAUUCCAGAAAUAUGCAUCACUUCCUAAUUAAAGUAGGGAAUUUUUAAAAAUUAUUAAACCACAUGCUUUCUAAUUCCUAUUGCCCUUUCUUUUCACCCACCAUUCAGCAGUCAGCAGACACUUUCUGGGUACAACAGGGUAGGACCAUCCAGGCAGAACAAAAGCCAUUGAUCAUGAACUACAGAGGAGAGUUUGGUAAAUGGACACCAGAAACCAUGGCCUACAGGGGCCUGGUUUUCUCCCAUCUAAAUACUAACUAGGCCCAACGCUAGUUGGGCUUAGCUUCCUAGAUCAGAUGAAAUUGGGCACAUUUAGGGUUGGGGGUAUGGCUCUCUAUUGUAAGUAGCAAGAGUUUGAGAGAAGAAAAAAGGGAUUUUCUUUUUUUUUUCUUUUAAAUUUUAGAGCAUUAACUUUAAACAUCAAGAUCCAAACCCCAAGGAUUCAGAGAAUCUUGUACUAUAAACCAUUUGUAUUAGUCAGGGUUCUCCAGAGAAACAGAACCCAUAGGAGGUAUAGAGAUAGAGAAAUAUGGAAUUGGCUCCCAUGAUUAUGGAGGCUGAGAAGUCCCUCAAUCUGCUGUCUGUGAGCUGGAGACCUAGGAAAGCUUAGCUGGUGGUACAAACCAGCCCAAGUGCAAAGGCCCAAGAACUAAGAGCACCAUUGUCAGAGAGCAGGAAAAGACAGAUGUCCCAGCUCAAAAAGAGAGAGCAAAUUCACCUUCCUUCCACCAUUUUAUUCCGUCCUGUUCCAUUCCUCAACAGGUUGGAUGAUGAGGGAGAUCUUUAUCCAUCUCAAGUUUUUUGUGCAAAUAUGGAAUACAAAUGAAAAAUACUUAAAGCACAUCAUCAUUGAUUUCCAACUUAGACUAGUUUAACUUCCCUUUUUCUUCUAUCCUGUCAGUUCCUUGAGGGAUCCUCUCUCCUUGUUCAUCUCUGCAUCUCUAGUAAUUAGCACAGUGCCAGGCACAUGGUAAUAUGGCUAAAACAGUGGAUUAUUGGUCUCCAACAUAAUUAAGCCCAUCCAAAAGAAAAACCAACCUCAUAAAUCUGCUUUGCAAAGUUCAUAAACAAUGGAUAUGCUAUGUCUCAAAGGUGCUGGCCAAAAAAAUUUAAGAACUUGGGAAUUAUGUGUUAUUUUGUUUGUUUUUUUCACCAAGCCUACUUUUCUGUCACAAGAGCCCAUAUCAACAACACACCCAUGUAUGUCCUUCUUUUUAUCUACUUUUCUCCAUGAAGUUUGUCACCAUCAACUGUUAAAACUGUAAAGAUUUGAUCAGCUAAAUAAGUGGUCUUUGAACUAAUUCCUCUCGUACUUCCUAAAGGAACUUUGAAAAACUAUGUAUCCCCUUGCACAUUUUCAAGCAGACACCUAAGAUUUUUCAUCAUAAAUUUGAAUAACUUCAAAAUAUGUACUUAUUAGCAUAUUGUAAAUAUUGAUUUUUAAAUAAAAUAUAUCACACUUUGUAUCCAAUGAACUCUAAACACCAUAGCAAUUUGACACUUACUCUCCCACCCUCAGUCUUAAAAAUUCACCAACAACCUCUUUUUUAACAACCGAAAAAUUUGUAUUAUUCCUUUUUAAAAUUUUGAAGUUUUCUGGAUUGAAUUAUUUUUAUAAUGAUUUUUAGUAUACAACUGACCAAAGCAACAUAAAUAUAUAGCAUAUUUUGAUAAAUAAUUAUAAAACAUAGCAAGUUAUGUGUUAUUGGAAAAUUAAACUAAAUGAAUGGAUCUUUUUAAAUUAGUUCGGGUAUCUGUGGCUGUUCCUAACUGUUAAAAUGAGACAGAGUCAGCGUCAAUUCUACUCUUAUUUUUUAUUUUUUUAGACGUAAGCCCUGAGAAAACUUGUUCAAUUAAAUAAGUAAUGAGAAUGUUAGGCAUUUUCUGAUAAAAAUGUCACUCUGUUAUUUGAAUGCCUUCUUGAUUAUAAGUCAAAAAGUACAUAGUGAUCUAUUAUCAAAAACUAUUGGCCUAUCUGUUGACAACUUGGGUAGGUCCUCCUUUAAUUUUAUUGAAAGCAAAGAAUUGGAAACUACCUAAUUUACAAAAAAAAGAAGAAGAAGAAGAAGAAGAAGAAAUGUGUUACCUAAUUAUUAGAGCUCACUUUCUAAGUUUCUAGGAAGUAUGACCCAAAAAAGCUUGGCCAAGACUUAUCACAUGGCUGUUGAUUAUACCAUCACCCUUUUACUUACAGGCGUCUUGCUUAUGGACCUAAAAAAGAUGAAACUGGAGUUAGAAACAAAAACAGAAAAUUGUAAAUUGUGCAUUUGGGGACUUUUCUCCUUGACUGUGAACAGAGACCUAUAUACAAUGCCAAAUUUCAUUUUUUAAGAAUGUCUCAAAAUGCAGAGUAAAGAAAUGACAGAAGGACAGACACUUGGGGAUAUUCAUGUAUAUACUAAUAACUUCUUCCCAAAUAUGACUGAAGACAAUACACUUAGCAGAACUGAAAUCAAUAUAUUAACAUCUGAAAGGGAGAAAUUAAUCCUAAUUCAAUCAAGCCAGUUUUCUAAAGUUCAGGUCAUUGCAUAUUAGAUUUACAUUUUGGAAAAAUUUUUUUUGCUUUUGAACCAAUAGAUUUCUGCUUUUGACAGUAUAGUUUAAAUACUUUAUGUAAGUUGACAGCAAGAGAAAGAACUUAGUCACCAAUAAGUAUAGUACAAGAUUAUGGAAAGCACAUUAAGGACCUCUAAGCACAUUAGUUAGAGUAUAAUCUGCAAUAUAUUCCUGUUAAAUUACUUAAUGCUAAUUCUGUGGACUGAAUUUCAUUCCCCCAAAAUUUAUAUUUUGAAGGCUUAACCCUUAAUGUGACUAUAUUUGGAAAUAGUGCCUGUGAAGAGGUGAUAAAGGUUAAAUGAGGUCACAGGCUGGGGUCCUACUUCACUAGGACUGGUGUCCUUUAAAGAAGAGGACAAGAUGCCAGAUGCUCUCGUUCAUGUGCCCCCUUUCUCUCUCUCUCUCUCUCGCUGGUUCACUCUCUCUCUCUCUCCUCCUGCCCCCCAUGUGAGGAUAUAAGGAGAAGGCAGCCAUCUGCCAGCCAGGAAGAGAGCCCACACCAGAACUUGACCAUGCUGACACCCUAAUCUUGGAUUUCUAGCCUCCAGAGUUAUGAGAAAAUAAAUUUCUGUUAUUUAAACCACCUGGUGCAUGGUAUUUUGUUAUGGCAACACAAGCUGACUUAUAUACCUAAUAACUACAUGGCAGGAAUUAAUACAUGAACGGGAAAGUUGUUCAUGAGUGACAGUGAGCAGGAGACCUGUACCUUCAUCAGAAAUGAAUAUAGAUUUCAUAUUUUGCUAACUUUUAGCAAAAAUUAAUGAAAGUGUUUCUCCUAUAAAUCUGAGUAAAUAUUUAAGAAAAUACAAAAUACUAACUUACCUCUAAUAUGUGUUUCUUUUGUUAGAAAAUGUAGCCUUGAUAUGUUGGAAGAAACUGUAGUCUUUUCACCUUGAAGUUAUGCAAAUUACACUCCUGAG